AGCUCCAAUAGCGUAUAUUAAAGUUGUUGCGGUUAAAAAGCUCGUAGUUGGUCCGCCUUUCGGGUGAGCAUCUGGCUCGGCUUGGGCAUAUUCUUGGAGAACGUUCCUGCACUUGACUGUGCGGUGCGGUAGCCAAGAGCUUUACUUUGAGGAAAUUAGAGUGUUCUAAGCAGGCAGAUGCCUUGAAUACAUUAGCAUGGAAUAAUAAUAUAGGACUUCGGUUCUAUUUUGUUGGUUUCUAGAGCUGAGGUAAUGAUUAAUAGGGAUGGUUGGGGGCAUUCGUAUUUAAUUGUCAGAGGUGAAAUUCUUGGAUUCGUUAAAGACGGACGACUGCGAUAGCAUUUGCCAAGGAUGUUUUCA
This 360-nucleotide ribosomal RNA is filed under the name uncultured eukaryote. Its description in RNAcentral is "SSU rRNA". It matches the Rfam family "Eukaryotic small subunit ribosomal RNA", at positions 587 to 972 of the family's 1831-position model. The record is from RNAcentral.